Neltuma alba is the source of this 450-nucleotide long non-coding RNA. RefSeq lists it as uncharacterized. The transcript is spliced from 2 exons. Lineage: Eukaryota; Viridiplantae; Streptophyta; Magnoliopsida; Fabales; Fabaceae. The record is from RefSeq and is a predicted model, not a curated record.
GCUUGCCGCCUCUAAUCCCUCCUUUCUCCCUGCUUAGUCCUCAAUCAAAUACAUUGAUUAAGUUUUACAGAGGUUGUGGCUUCGUAGACGUCGCGCUCAAGCUGUUCGAUGAAAUGCCGCAUAAAGGGUUUCUUGGUCCUCUAUGAUUUCUUGCGUUGUGAAGAAUGAUUUUGUUUUCAAAUCUCUGGUCCUUUUUCAGCAAAUGCAAUCAAAGGAGGAUGUCAAACCGGAUGGGGUUAUUAUGCCAAGUGUUAUAUCUAUGAUUUCUAUCCUGGGUGCAUGGGAAUUGUGGAUUUGGGUUCAUGUAGUAAUUGCCAGGAGUGGAUUGCCUCUAACAAUUUCAUUGGGUACUUCUCUUAUUGACAUGUAUUCAAGGUGUAGGUGCAUUGAUUGCUCAAUCAAAAUUUCUAAUGAAAUGCUUGUUAAGAAUGUUAUUAUGUGGACAGUUUA